RNAcentral lists this ribosomal RNA (468 nucleotides) under uncultured bacterium. RNAcentral describes it as "partial 16S ribosomal RNA". It matches the Rfam family "Bacterial small subunit ribosomal RNA", at positions 28 to 507 of the family's 1533-position model. The record is from RNAcentral.
GACGAACGCUGGCGGCGUGCUUAACACAUGCAAGUCGAACGGAAAGACCCUGCUUUUGUGGGGUGCUCGAGUGGCGAACGGGUGAGUAACACGUGAGUAACCUGCCCUUGACUUUGGGAUAACUUCAGGAAACUGGGGCUAAUACCGGAUAGGAGCUCCUGCUGCAUGGUGGGGGUUGGAAAGUUUCGGCGGUUGGGGAUGGACUCGCGGCUUAUCAGCUUGUUGGUGGGGUAGUGGCUUACUAAGGCUUUGACGGGUAGCCGGCCUGAGAGGGUGACCGGCCACAUUGGGACUGAGAUACGGCCCAGACUCCUACGGGAGGCAGCAGUGGGGAAUAUUGCACAAUGGGCGGAAGCCUGAUGCAGCAACGCCGCGUGCGGGAUGACGGCCUUCGGGUUGUAAACCGCUUUCGCCUGUGACGAAGCGUGAGUGACGGUAAUGGGUAAAGAAGCACCGGCUAACUACGUG